Molecule: RNA transcript, 5471 nt
Organism: Alligator mississippiensis (American alligator)
Lineage: Eukaryota; Metazoa; Chordata; Crocodylia; Alligatoridae
Gene name: zinc finger protein RFP-like
Exons: 9
Source: RefSeq, a predicted model, not a curated record
GUGCAAAUACUCUAUAUACAAGUGAAGAGUCUGGGAGGAUCAAAACAAGGGUCACAUUAAAAGAUCAUGCAAUCUUAUACUCUAAUGAGGUGUAAGAAUGACAAAGCAUAAGGUGCAGAUUCACAAAUAUGAGGUGCAGGACUCACAAAAUACGAGGCAAAGAAGCAUCAGAUACAAAAGCCAGAUCUCGAAAAGAAACAUCAGACCCUUGUUGCCCUGGAGCAAUGGCAGUGCCCCCAAAGAUCCUCAAAGGAGAGGAGAGAAGAGAAGAAAGACUCCCUGGGCCCAACAGGCCUCUGUAACCCAGCUUGAUAGCCCCCCUGAGGGGAACCUCACAGCCCAGGGCCCAUGGGUGACUGGUGCCCCCCCAGUGGCCAGUCAGCAACUUGGGGGGCAGGGGGGCCCACAGCCAAUCUCAUCUGGCCAAUCGCGCUGACCCAGAAGCAUAAGCGACGCUCCCAGAUGUGCCAGCAAUGCUUCUCCUGGCACCCCUACUCCCCGGCCAGCGCUCUUGGGAGGGCACCAGCACUCCCGCUUGCCCCCCUGCCCAUUGCCAAAGUGGGGAGAGCUGGCUGUCAAAGGGUGUACCAGCACUGUCAGGGGGUGCAUGUGCACACCUGUGCACCCGCUAUGCAUCCAGGGCCCUCCCCAUUGAAAGGGCUUCCCCUUCAGCUGCUAACCACAAGUGAUGGGGGGAGCUCCCUCCUUCCCUUUGGGAGUCCCUUUCCCUAGUAACUCACAGCUCUCAGAGGCUCCUCUCGUUCUUAUGCUGCUCAUGCUCUCCCAGCUUCUGGCCUGCUUGGGGCCCCGUGCACUGCUCCGUGUACCAGUGGCCCUGCCUUAUGUCAGGGGUUGGAGACCUGAGCCACUUUGUGCAGAAUCAUGGUCUCGGUCUGCUCCCAGGCCCUCUGUGCAUUGCCGGUGCACCACGUUCCUGGCCUUGUGCCAGGGGUCAGAGACCCAAGCCGCCUUGUGUGGUGCCAGGGUCUCGGUCCACUUCCAGACCACCCAUGCACCGCCCGUAUACUGAAUGCCUGGCCUUGUGUCAAGGGUUAGAGACCUGAACCUCCUCAUGCAUUUCCCAGGGCCUCGGUCCCUCUUGGACUGCCCAUGCACUGACACCGCACCUCCUCGUGGCGGGGCUGGAGGCUGUGGCCAUUUGCCACUCCCCGUCCGACAAUCUGUCUUCGGGCUCUCCUGGGGCUACUGCUCUGCUGGGCUGGCCAGCUCCGCCAGCUCUUCUUUGCCCUCUUCUUUGUCCCUCAAUAGAGCUGCCCGUGUGCUGGGCACGCCGCCUUUUUAUUCCCUUUAGAGGCUCUGCCCCCGGUUUGGAAAUGGAGGGGUUUAAUCCUCUCUCCAGUCCAGCUCUCUGCCUCAUCCCACAGUAGGGGUGGGAUAAGCCUUUCCCCUACCAUCACCUGAUUGGUGGGGAAGGAGAAAAUACCCCAUCAAUCACUUUGAGCCUUCUCGAAGCUGGCACACUGGGCUGCUGCCAGCAAGCCCGCCAUGCUAGGAUGCUUUGCACCUCCCCUGCAAACCCCCCCUUGCAGGGUGGGUGGGCUAGCCUUGCCCAAGCUGUUUGCUCUAGCUGAGCAGGGAGGUGUGCUCUAGUACCCCCUCACCCCCCAGCUUCUGGCCUGGGCCAUUGCAGGUAUGUGGCUUCAUUUGCAUUUCCAGAAUUAAAAAUGAAUGUCCGUUCACUUGCUUAUCAGUUCAAUCUACACAGUUUAGACUGAACCUGGGAAGUUUGAAUUGAUUCAGCCUUGGGCUUUCUGACUGCCAGUACUUAAUCUAAAUGUUUAGUACUCAGCUGUCUGCUGGGAAUAGCUUGUAUUUCGUAUCUGCUGAGUUGCAGGGGAUGCACUGUCACUAAGCCUUUAUUGUUAUUCUCCAUUUAAAAUAAUGGAGAUUCUGCAAGUCUCUAAUUGAUCUUUGAGAAUAGAGAAAAAGCUGCAAGAACUCCAGACAUUCACAUGAGAUGAUAAGUGACAGCAAGAGCUCAGGGAAGGAGUCAUAGUUUCAUAGUUUCUAGGGUCCUAGUAUCAUAGUACUUAGGGUUGGACCUGAACAGAUCAUCCGGUCUGACCCCCUGCCCCGGGCAGGAACGAGUGCCAGGGUCAUAUCACUCCAGCCAAAUAUCUUUCCAGCCUCCUCUUGAAGACCCCCAAGGUAGGAGAGAGCACCGCCUCCCUUGGGAGCCCAUUGCAGAACCUGGCAGCCCUAACCGUAAAGUAACGUCUCCUGAUGUCCAGCCUGAACCUUGUCUCUAACAAUUUGUGGCUGCUAUUCCUAGUAACCCCCAGAGGUGCCUGGGGGAACAGAGCCUCAUGUAUUUUCUGCUGGUACCCCCGGUGAGUUUAUAGAUGGCCACCAGAUCCCCUCUUAGUCUUCUCUUGUGGAAGCUGAAUAGAUUCAGGACUUUUAGUCUAUCUUUGUAGGGCCUGCCCUGCUGCCUUGUGACCAAGUGAGUGGCCCUCCUCUGCACCCUCUCAAUGCUAGCCACGUUCCUCUUGAAGUGCAGCACCCAGAACUGGAUGCAGGACUCCAGCUGUGGCCUGACCAGUGCUGCAUAGAGGGGAAGGAUCACCUCCCUGGACCUGCUUGUGAUGCAUCUGUAGAUGCACAACAAGGUGCAGUUAGCCUUACUGACCGCUUCCUCGCAUUGGUGGCUCACGUCCACAAUGACUCCAAGAUCCCUUUCAGCCACUUUGUUGUUGAGAAGGGUGUUCCCCAGUCUAUAGGUGUGUUGCUGGUUCCUUCUCCCUAGAUGUAUCACCUUACACUUGUCUACAUUGAACUCCUUCCUAUUCUCAUCCACUCACCUCUGUAACCUGUCUAGAAAUAGUUGGAUUCUGUCCCUCCCCUCCAGUGUGCCCACUUCUCCCCACAUCUUUGUGUCAUCAGUGAAUUUGGACAGCGUGCUUUCCACACCCACCUCUGAGUCACCGAUAAAGAUGUUGAAUAGCACAGGCCCAAGGACCGAGCCCUGGGGCACUCCACUGCCCACAUCCCUCCAGGUCGAAAAGGACCUGUCCACCACCACUCUCUGGGUGCGACCAUCAAGCCAAUUUGCCACACAUCUGACUGUGUAGGCAUCAAUGCCACAGUCACCUAGGUUUUUUUAAUGAGAAUGGGGUGAGAAACAGAGUCAGCAAAAGAUGUUUUCUGAUUAUAAAGAAAUAGAGAAAAUAUUAAGGUCCAGAUUCUGUUACCAUUUAUGUGUGCUUGAAUGGCACUUAAUAGGUGGCAUUUUUGGCAUUUGUGCCCAGGUUGCAAUUCUAUUAUUUGAUUAGCAGAGAUAAGUCACAAAAUCUCCCUGAAGAAAACAAAAGGAAAUCUGUAAGUGUUCUCAUGUUUUAGUCCCAGCAGCUAAGAAGACCAGUCAUUUUCUCAGGGUGCAACCAACACCGCUUAUCAACAACUUCCUGCAAGGGGGUUUGAGCAUGCGUCUCUCCAGCUUUACCCUCUGACCUGUUCUAGUCCCUCCCCUAGUUCCUUCUUUUCAAACUGAGGUGUUUAAUAGGACUCAGUUACCCCUAUUCCUAAAGUAUGAGUGGAACAGAUGGCAUAAUCCACCUCAAGGAAACCAAUCCCAGUUUUAUUUUUAAAAGUUAAUAAUGUGUGUCAGUAUUUGGAAUUUUCUUUUUAUACAUAGCACUUGCCAAAAAAAGUCAAAGAUUAUCUUCCAUUUAAAAAAAUAAAGUUAAAUUGAAAACAUCUUAACCGAAACCCAUUAAUAGUUCUGCUCUCAAAUACUGCUCCAGCCCCUCGUUCCCCUCUGUGUGCAGAACUACGCCUCCCAUGGUACACCAGGGUCAAUCCUCUGGGGGCGGGGGAGAAGGGAGAGAGAGGAGGAGAGAGAGGAAGUGGCCUAUGUUGCAGUAUAAUAUAAUGCAGCUUGGGCUGCUGAGAGAAGGGGUGGGACUCAGGAAAUGUUGUAAGUAAAGUUCAGGAAGGGAAAUCAUUACUUUUUGCAUAAAAGUGAGCAUCAGAGAUCAGAAACUGAACUUAUUGCACAAUCUUUUUUGGAAGCCAUGGCUGACCUGAACCCUCUAGAACGACUCCAAGAAGAAGCAACCUGUUCCAUCUGCCUGGUUUUCUUCAAUGACCCUGUGUCUCUCGACUGUGGACACAACUUUUGCCGAGCCUGCAUCGCCCAGUGCUGGGAGGGAGUGGGAACAGAUCAUGACUCUGUCUCUUGCCCUCAGUGUAGAGAGACAUUUCAGCAAAGAAACCUCAGGACAAACAGGCAACUGGCGAACUUUGUGGAAAUAGCUAAGCAGCUGAGUGUGCAAACAGCGGGGGGGACAGAAGGAGAAGCAAAGUGCAAGGAACACGGGGAGAUUUUCAAGCUCUUCUGUAAGGACGACGAAGCCUUCAUCUGCGUGAUCUGCAGAGAGUCCCGGGAUCACCGCACUCACAAGGUGUUCCCAGUAGGGGAGGCUGCCGAAGAGUACAAGGAAUAUCUUCAAACCCAGAUGAUGACCCUGAAGGAAAAAAGAGAAGACCUUAUGAAGUAUAAACUGGAUGGAGAAAAGGAAAGCCUGAAAUGGCUGGAAAAGACAGAGGCUGAGAGGCAAAAGAUUGUACUGGAAUUUCAGAAACUACGGCAGUUCCUAGAGGAGCAAGAGCAACUCCUGCUAACCCAGCUGGCUAAGCUGGAGAAGGAGAUUGUACAGAGGCAAGGAGAUAGUGUUACCAACCUGUCAAAGAAUAUUUCCCAACUUGAUAACCUCAUCUGUGAAAUAGAGGGGAAGUACCAGCAGCCAGUGAAUGAAUUCCUGAAGGAUAUCAAGAGCACCUUGAGCAGAUGUAAGACGGUGCACUUUAAGAAACCGGUGUUCAUGCCUCGUGACCUGACUGUCCAGCUCAGCAGGUCUUCUCAAACAAAUAUUUAUCUGCAGGAGGCACUGACAAAAUUCAAAGAAACUCUUCCCUUUGAGCUGAGAAAGGGAAUUAGAUGUUUCCCUUCACAGUCCUUGUCUCCUCCAACAAGCAAUGAGGCAUGCAGAGCAGCCAAUCAACAGCCUAGAGAAGACAUUUGUAGAGGCAUGACUGAGAGUUGGACUUCUGGGUUCGGUGCUGUGGGUUUUUCCUCGAUGAUCUCUGGCCAUGCCUUACAGAAGCCUGGCUUUCCUCCUAGGAGACAUCAAAACUGGAAUGAAGGAGGAUUUGACUGGGAAUGAAGGUUCCCCAGGGCUGGAGCACAAGCUGCAGUGGGCAUGACUGGGAGGGAGGACGAUACCAGGAAGCUCCAUGUGCUCAGAGACGUGUAGUCCCCAGGCUCCGGUGCGGCAGGCAGAGAAGCAGCACACACGACAGGGGAAGAGCCCAGCGUAGGGGCCAGGUGCCUGGGCUCUGGAAGACAGAAGCAUCCGGUGUCCCUGUGCUGCAACAACCCCAACAGAAAUGAAGCCAGAAACAGGCACUCUGGGUCCAUGGCACCAGGCAAGAGCACCCAUCUCCAACAA